CUGUGCCUAUACAGUUUUAAAAAUAUGUAAAUUAUUACUAUGUGUUUUAUAAAUAUAUGCCACACAUAGGUGGUUGUAAUAUUUAAGUAUGUUUGGGGAUAACAAACAUUGAAGUCAGAAUAAUCAUUACCCCCGGAGAGAGAGGGAGGAGGAGAAAUGACUUGGCAGAAAUUCAAGGAGAGAUUCAACUCCAUCUGAAAUAUUUUCUUAUCUAAAAAGAAAUCUGAAGCAAACAUAAGCAUGGUCUGAUUUGGUAAAGUUCAGUAUUGGGAUAUGGGUGUUUGCUAUACAGGGUUGUUAUUCUAGCAUUUUAUAAUAAAUGCAUUUGAAGCAGUUUGUCCGUCACAGGAUCCAGCACAUCUGAGUUUGCACAAUCACUCUCCCCUCUAGGCACCAUUCACGGCAACUCCCAUUAUAAUUAUGGCAACCAGAGUGCAGCUUGCUGUGCCUAGCUCCGGAGGGAAAGUCGGCUGGUGAGAUGGAUCAGAUGUUUAAUGGCACUAACCUAAGAAAAUCUAAGGUUACAGAAAGUCUUGCUGUUGGGCUUGACAAUGAUAGGCUCUGGUCUCAGUGGGAUGGAAAUACAGCCUGGAAGAAAUAGGAAACUUUAAUAUCUGGAUGGAUUCCUUAAACAGGUAACGGAAACUAUAGCCUGAAAACCAAACUGAUUUUGAUGGACAAGAACCAGAGUUUAAGGGGGAAAUAAUACAAUACAUUCUUAGGGACUAAAGAAGGUGGGGUUUGAAUAUCAAG
RNAcentral lists this long non-coding RNA (753 nucleotides) under Macaca mulatta (Rhesus monkey). Its description in RNAcentral is "lncRNA (ENSMMUG00000054790.1)". The record is from RNAcentral. Lineage: Eukaryota; Metazoa; Chordata; Mammalia; Primates; Cercopithecidae.